UUCGCGUGAGGGAUGGAAGCGGCAUCCUUUUUUGCGAGGCACGAGCGAAAAAGAUAAAGCGGACAGCCCGACAGCGG
This 77-nucleotide small RNA is filed under the name Flavobacterium noncentrifugens. RNAcentral describes it as "Flavo-1 RNA". The stretch from base 10 to 77 matches the Rfam family "Flavo-1 RNA", at positions 9 to 76 of the family's 76-position model. The record is from RNAcentral. Lineage: Bacteria; Pseudomonadati; Bacteroidota; Flavobacteriia; Flavobacteriales; Flavobacteriaceae.